UCGUCAGUCACUGUACUCAAACAAAGUGAGCAUCGUCCUCCUCCUCCAACAUGUGUUGUGCUGUACCCACUAAGCAUAAUGUUGUUCCCACUGAGCAUCCUUGAACACCCAAUGAGAGGUUCUGUGUUUAAUGUGUUCAUCAUAGUGACUGUUCCUCUAGAGUGGUUCUGUGUUUAAUGUGUUCAUCAUAGUGACUGUUCCUCUAGAGUGGUUCUGUGUUUAAUGUGUUCAUCAUAGUGACUGUUCCUCUAGAGUGGUUCUGUGUUUAAUGUGUUCAUCAUAGUGACUGUUCCUCUAGUGGUUCUGUGUUUAAUGUGUUCAUCAUAGUGACUGUUCCUCUAGUGGUUCUGUGUUUAAUGUGUU
RNAcentral lists this long non-coding RNA (363 nucleotides) under Salmo salar (Atlantic salmon). Its description in RNAcentral is "lncRNA (ENSSSAG00000101738.1)". The record is from RNAcentral. Lineage: Eukaryota; Metazoa; Chordata; Actinopteri; Salmoniformes; Salmonidae.